This 466-nucleotide ribosomal RNA is filed under the name uncultured bacterium. Its description in RNAcentral is "partial 16S ribosomal RNA". It matches the Rfam family "Bacterial small subunit ribosomal RNA", at positions 28 to 523 of the family's 1533-position model. The record is from RNAcentral.
GAUAAACGCUGGCGGCGUGCCUAAUACAUGCAAGUCGUGCGGUAAGGCCCCUUCGGGGGUACACGAGCGGCGGACGGCAGAGUAACGCGUAGGAACGUACCCCAAAGUGAGGGAUAACUGCUCGAAAGAGUAGCUAAUACCGCAUAUGAUCUUCGGAUUAAAGCAGCAAUGCGCUUUGGGAACGGCCUGCGUCCGAUUAGCUAGUUGGUAGAGUAAUAGCCUACCAAGGCGACGAUCGGUAGCUGGUCUGAGAGGAUGAUCAGCCUGACUGGAACUGAGACACGGUCCAGACUCCUACGGGAGGCAGCAGUAGGGAAUUUUGGACAAUGGGCGAAAGCCUGAUCCAGCCAUUCCGCGUGCAGGAUGAAGGCCCUCGGGUUGUAAACCUCUUUCAGCACCGACGAAGCGCAAGUGACGGUAGGUGCAGAAGAAGGACCGGCCAACUACGUGCCAGCCGCCGCCGCAG